UCAAGUGACUAAGCGUACACGGUGGAUGCCUUGGCGUUGGCAGGCGAUGAAGGACGCGGCAAGCUGCGAAAAGCUUCGGAGAGGUGCAAGCUACCUUUGAUCCGGAGGUGUCCGAAUGGGGAAACCUUUACUGUGAUAAGCAGUAAAUCGUGCACUGAAUACAUAGGUGUACGAAGCUAACGCGGGGAACUGAAACAUCUAAGUACCCGCAGGAGAAGAAAUCAAACGAGAUUUUCCUAGUAGCGGCGAGCGAACGGGAAAUAGCCUAAACCGUAUGUAAGGCGACUUGCGUACGGUGUUGCGGGAAGUGUCAAUAGAGAUAACAAGCUAUAGCGGAAAUAUCUGGGAAGGUAUGCCAAAGAGGGUGAAGGCCCCGUAUGCGAAAUAGCGAGUUGUUGAGACGCUCUCCCAAGUACCUCGGGGCACGAGAAAUCCAGAGGGAAUCCGGGUGGACCAUCAUCCAAGGCUAAAUACUCGUCAGCGACCGAUAGUGAACCAGUACCGUGAGGGAAAGGCGAAAAGAACCCCGAGAGGGGAGUGAAAUAGAACCUGAAACCGUGUGCCUACAAGCGGUCAGAGGGGCUUUAAGCCCUGAUGGCGUACCUUUUGUUUAAUGGUCCAAGGAGUUAUCAUUUGCAGCGAGGUUAAGUACUUAAGGUAUGGAGCCGUAGGGAAACCGAGUCUGAAUAUGGCGAUUAGUUGCAGGUGAUAGACCCGAAACCGAGUGAUCUAUCCAUGGCCAGGUUGAAGCGAGGGUAAAACCUCGUGGAGGACCGAACUAGUGUGGAGUGAAAACCGCUUGGAUGAGCUGUGGAUAGGGGUGAAAGGCUAAUCAAACUCGGAAAUAGCUGGUUCUCCCCGAAAUGCAUUUAGGUGCAGCCUUAUGAAGUAGCACUGGGGGUAGAGCACUGAUUGGAUUGAUGGGGUCUAACCGACUUACUGACUCCAGUCAAACUCCGAAUACCGGUGUGUAAUUCAUGGGAGUGAGAAUGCGGGUGAUAAGGUUCGUAUUCGAGAGGGAAACAACCCAGAUCAUCAGCUAAGGCCCUCAAAUGAUAGCUAAGUGGUAAAGGAUGUGAGAUUACAGAGACAACCAGGAGGUUUGCUUAGAAGCAGCAAUCCUUUAAAGAAAGCGUAACAGCUCACUGGUCAAGUGAUUUUGCGCCGAAAAUAACCGGGGCUAAGCUAUCUGCCGAAGCUAUGGAUUGUGCAGAUUUAUCUGCAAAGUGGUAGGGGAGCGUUCGCAGUGCGAUGAAGGAUGAUGGUGAUUGAUUCUGGAGCGCUGUGAAGUGAGAAUCUUGGAAUGAGUAGCGAUAAGGAGAGUGAGAAUCUCUCCCGCCGUAAGCCCAAGGAUUCCUGAGCAAGGCUCGUCCUCUCAGGGUUAGUCGAGACCUAAGGUGAGGCCGAAAGGCGUAGCUGAUGGAAGACAGGUUAAUAUUCCUGUACCGUCUGUAAAUUGUUUGACCGAUGGGAUGACGCGGUUGUGAACUGUAACCUUGCCGUUGGUUGAGCAAGGCCAAGGGCUUAGGAUGUCAGGUAGGCAAAUCCGCCUGAUAAGUCUGAAGUCUGAUGGGGAGUUAGUAAUAACGAAGUACAGGUAAUCGUGCCGCCGGGAAAAGUCUCUAAGGGAAAUUUAUAGGCGCUCGUACCAAAACCGACACAGGUGGGCGGGCAUAAAUAUGCCAAGGCGCGCGAGUUAAGUACCGGUAAGGAACUCGGCAAAUUAACCCCGUAACUUCGGGAGAAGGGGUGCCUGUAGCAAUACAGGCCGCAGUGAAGAGGCCCAUGCAACUGUUUAUUAAAAACACAGCACUCUGCAAAGACGAAAGUCGACGUAUAGGGUGUGACUCCUGCCCGGUGCUGGAAGAUUAAAUGAUGGGGUGCAAGCUCUUGACUGAAGUCCCAGUAAACGGCGGCCGUAACUAUAACGGUCCUAAGGUAGCGAAAUUCCUUGUCGGGUAAGUUCCGACCUGCAC
Molecule: ribosomal RNA, 1976 nt
Filed under: freshwater metagenome
Description: bacterial LSU rRNA
Rfam family: Bacterial large subunit ribosomal RNA
Source: RNAcentral